GUUUCAAGAAUCUGUUACAACAGUUUUUCCACUGAAACAUCUAUCCUGGCAGAAACCUGACUUCAGAUACCAUUAUUUGUACAAUUUCCUAAGAAUACACACUGCUGGAAGGACUUCCCCACUUGUUUAAGGUCACUGACUCUGCAGUGCAUCUCCCUGCCAGUACCAGGUGCAUGUGUAACACAGAGAGAGAAAUUCUCAGGAACAGGAGCUUUGAAAUCAGUCCUACCAGGAAAUUAGGACAAAGGGAGAUUCUUCACCUUUAUUUUUCAGAGAGAAGAAAGAAGUUGCAAAGCAGGAAGAGAAAAGGAGUGGUCAGGUCCAGUGGGAGCUGGAGAAGUUCUCCAAUGGUGUGAUCCUCAAACACACCUUGGUGGAGCCUUUACGGACAGCUGCUCUCAGGGAUGGGGUUGAACAUCAAUGGAAUCCAGUGGAAGCUGUUCCCAGGGGGUAAAAGGAUCCCUGCUCCCAAGCUGGAGUGCUCCCUGGCCUGGAGGAGCUCCUCUUGUGCAGGCAGCUCCUGCCCUGCCUCUGCCUGUCUCUGCUUUCCAUCAGAGAUUCCUCACGUGCCGCAGCUGAACUGCCCGGCUUCCCUUGGCCCCACCUUGGCACAAUCUUCUGAGGGAGCUGCUGGUGUCCCCAGGGCUCUGGGCACCUGUCCCAGCCUGGAGAGCACUCACAGGUGGACACCAGGAGCUCUCUGGAAGGACCACCCAGAAAUGAGCCCAGGGCCACUGCAGGGGACCCUCCAUCCUCCCUUCCUGCUCCAGCCCAAAGAGUGCAGAGGUCCACAGACACCUCCCAAGGGACUGAGCUGCUCUCCCUCAGCCGUGGGAGACUCUUCAAGGUUCUCUUUAAGCAGCUGCUUUCCUAUCUGUCUCCUACAUACUCUGGAUUAG
RNAcentral lists this long non-coding RNA (899 nucleotides) under Parus major (Great Tit). RNAcentral describes it as "lncRNA (ENSPMJG00000002495.1)". The record is from RNAcentral. Lineage: Eukaryota; Metazoa; Chordata; Aves; Passeriformes; Paridae.